UGUUCCACCGUAUACCCGCCCCGGCGAGGCCGCCUCAGCAAGCCCGGGUUCUCACGGCAGUCGGUCAUCAAGAUGAGCUUCCAGCAGGAGCAGGCGGUGUUCUCCACGCCGACCCCACCGUCGCCGUCCGGGGAUGCACGGACUAGCAGGGAGGAUGGCGACGCGCAGCAGCAGCAGCAGCAGGAGCUGGUGUUCGACCACGCGGCGUAGUUCUUCACCGCGAGCGACGAGAGGUUCUAGAGGCUGGUCGACGAGUGGAUUGGCAAGGGCUUGGUCCGUGAGUGGAGAGGCUUGAUCGGUCAGCUCAACAUCGGUGGCCAUUUUAGGCCUAUACCUACCUCGACGCCGCAGUGCAUCGGCGUGAACGGGACGGAAUGCGCGCUUGCAGAUGCGAUUCUGCCUGAGGAGCAAAGAUAAUUGAAGUUAUAUUUGAAUUUUGAAGUAAAGAUCUGUUUUUCUGAAGGAUUUGCAAUGGUACUCCUUGUUUCAACAUUCAGCCAUGUUGUAUUUGAGUUCAAUCAGCAUUUUAUUUCACAAGGUUGCUGCACCGACAAAACUGAACUACGACAUGUUUGAGCAAAUAACUUACUUGAGCAGUUUUACCUUGCUCCAUCUUACCUCUUAUGAGGUAAGAGCUCUCGUUAACCUUGACCAUUCAAUUUUGCCCUUUUAUUUUAAUCAACAUAAAAUAUAUAACACCUUAUUAAUUUAGCAUGCCCAAAUAAGUAAAGUACUAUUACAAUAAUCACCAUUCCUUGCUAAUCGGGCAUGCAUGCUUCCUGUGAAAAUAAUAAUAACGCCGAGCACAUUAAUUUCAUAUAAAAAUAUUAGAAAAAAUAUUGGUAGUAGACCAACACGU
Molecule: long non-coding RNA, 859 nt
Organism: Oryza brachyantha (malo sina)
Lineage: Eukaryota; Viridiplantae; Streptophyta; Magnoliopsida; Poales; Poaceae
Exons: 3
Source: RefSeq, a predicted model, not a curated record